This 253-nucleotide ribosomal RNA is filed under the name uncultured bacterium. Its description in RNAcentral is "partial 16S ribosomal RNA". It matches the Rfam family "Bacterial small subunit ribosomal RNA", at positions 524 to 776 of the family's 1533-position model. The record is from RNAcentral.
UACGGGGGGGGCAAGCGUUGUUCGGAAUUACUGGGCGUAAAGGGCUCGUAGGCGGCCAACUAAGUCAGACGUGAAAUCCCUCGGCUUAACCGGGGAACUGCGUCUGAUACUGGAUGGCUUGAGAUUGGGAGAGGGAUGCGGAAUUCCAGGUGUAGCGGUGAAAUGCGUAGAUAUCUGGAGGAACACCGGUGGCGAAGGCGGCAUCCUGGACCAACACUGACGCUGAGGAGCGAAAGCUAGGGGAGCAAACAGG